GAAAAGAAGUUUCUGGUUGGCCUCCCUGGAAUCAUGUGUUCAUCUCUGACUCAAUCACUGUGGAUGGGUAGGACGUGGACCAGCAGUGUUCUCCAGGUUUUGAUUGUCCCAAAGAAUUGAUCAGGACAAUUGGUGAGUGCGAAAGAUUACUGUUGGAGGGCAGAAAGAAGAAGAAAAGGAACAGGAAAAGAAGCACAGAAGUGCUCAAGAAGAAAAGAGUGCUUUGAAGGAAAAAGAGAAGAUGCAUCCUGCA
RNAcentral lists this long non-coding RNA (253 nucleotides) under Fukomys damarensis (Damara mole-rat). Its description in RNAcentral is "lncRNA (ENSFDAG00000022609.1)". The record is from RNAcentral. Lineage: Eukaryota; Metazoa; Chordata; Mammalia; Rodentia; Bathyergidae.